UUACUUUACAUACUUACAUUUUCUUCAGAACAGUAUUAGAAAUCACGCCAUGCAUUGCCAGACAAUUAGAGUCUUGGCAACCCCCUGCCAGACACGCGUAAAGUUUAAAAGAUUUAAAGUGUGAAGUGUCUGGCAGGGGUUGCCACUAUACUAAGUGUUUGGCAAUAAAUGACGUGAUACUUUCUA
Long non-coding RNA from Maniola jurtina (meadow brown), 186 nucleotides. RefSeq lists it as uncharacterized. NCBI's taxonomy places the organism in Eukaryota, Metazoa, Arthropoda, Insecta, Lepidoptera, Nymphalidae. The transcript is spliced from 3 exons. The record is from RefSeq and is a predicted model, not a curated record.